Molecule: ribosomal RNA, 403 nt
Filed under: uncultured bacterium
Lineage: Bacteria
Description: partial 16S ribosomal RNA
Rfam family: Bacterial small subunit ribosomal RNA
Source: RNAcentral
AUUGAACGCUGGCGGCAGGCCUAACACAUGCAAGUCGAGCGAGCGGCGGACGGGUGAGUAAUGUAUGGGGACUGCCCGAUAGAGGGGGAUAACUACUGGAAACGGUAGCUAAUACCGCAUACUAUCGGAUAACCCAUAUGGGAUGAGCUAGUGGGUGAGGUAAUGGCUCACCUAGGCGACGAUCCCUAGCUGGUCUGAGAGGAUGAUCAGUCAUAGUGUUACUGAGACACGGCCCAGACUCCUACGGAGGCAGCAGUGGGGAAUAUUGCACAGUGGGCGCAAGCCUGAUGCAGCCAGACCGCUUGUAUGAAGAAGGCCCUAGGGUUGUAAAGUACGUUCAGGCGGGAGGCGUUACCGACAGAAGAAGCACCGGCUAACUCCGUGCCAGCAGCCGCGGGAAUAC